GCUUCAAUAGCAUAGUGGUAAUGCAUCGUAUGGAAACAAGUACGACGGCGAGGAUCCGGGUUCGAUUCCCGGUACGAAGCA
Morchella snyderi is the source of this 81-nucleotide non-coding RNA. The record is from the annotation of a GenBank genome assembly. NCBI's taxonomy places the organism in Eukaryota, Fungi, Ascomycota, Pezizomycetes, Pezizales, Morchellaceae.